UCUUCCAAGAGACUGUUCACAAGUAGAGGAUCCACAACUUUUGAAGGAUCUGAUCUGGUGGAUACAGCAAGUCUUCAAGAAUCUUUGCAUCAGGCGUCUGUAAAGCUGCAGCUUGUGUUGCAGAACCUACAGCUUGCCCAAGUCCUCAACUCCCCCUGUUCUGCUUCCUCAAACAAAGAAAACAGAUGACCAAUACCUGCACCAUAAUUCUGAGUGAGGAAGUUCUGCUUUCCAAGAUGAUUUACUUCUUUUGGAAUUUCCCCAAAUAUUUUCCUAAUGUCAAUCCAUAUAUUAUAUUGCCCCCUGGCUUUGAAAAGUAUGAAGCACUGUCAGACCCGAUUGUGUUACAGCUUGCACACACCUGGAAC
Long non-coding RNA from Oxyura jamaicensis (ruddy duck), 368 nucleotides. RefSeq lists it as uncharacterized. Lineage: Eukaryota; Metazoa; Chordata; Aves; Anseriformes; Anatidae. The record is from RefSeq and is a predicted model, not a curated record. The transcript has 3 exons.